This 202-nucleotide long non-coding RNA is filed under the name Homo sapiens (human). Its description in RNAcentral is "LNC_000867". The record is from RNAcentral. Lineage: Eukaryota; Metazoa; Chordata; Mammalia; Primates; Hominidae.
CACACUCACAGCCAAGCCAGACCCCAGAAUGGGAUGAAGAAACUGAGGCUCAAAGAGGCUUGGCCAAGACCACAGAGCCAGCACUCAAUGUCAUUCCCUCUACCAUGCAGCGGGCUCCCCUCUGCCAUCUCCAGCCGCCUGAAGCAGGGCCCAGCAUGAAUGAGACAGCUGGCAGAGUGAGAGCUGUGCUCACCACCUCAGC